GGCGGGACGGGGCUGCCCAGCCAGCUGGCACGUCCGGGGGCUCUCAGGACACGUCCCUGCCUCUGGUGUGAUGUAGGCGUGGGCUGAAGCUAACCGUGCAGGUUCAUUGGCUGGUUUGUGCCCUGACUCUCCCCAGGGAGCACGGCUGGUGGGGCCCAUGGUGACUGGACAGUCUCUGUCCGCAGGAACUCCUAGUUAACAGGAGACAGAUACACAAGAAAGAAAAAAGAAUGAACAAAAAGACAGUGCGUUUAGCGCAACCUGCUGGGGCAGGGGAGGGGCCUUGUCUGAAUUUCCAGGGCCUUCUCCUGGGACCGUGGGCAUUCCCGCCAUCUUGCCUUCAAGGCUCCCUGACUUACACUUUCUGAGGGAGUCCCGUUCCUGGCCGCCAAGCCUCUCCCGACCCCGGCUCGCUGGCCGGCUGCACUGUCCCCUGCUGCUUGGCGGGCCUGGGGACACUCGGGCCUAGAAGGAAGUCUGGCUGCCCUGGGCCACCUCCUUGGGGCCGCUCCUCAGCCCUUGCCCCAGCCCGAGGCCUUCUCCUCUGCGGCAGCCGGGGCAGUGCCGGGGUGGGGGGCGGCCUCGGGCUGUGACAGCAGGUGCUAAGGGCUGGCGGCCACCACAUGCGGCUUCACCUCCGGGUCCUCCAGCGCCUGGGGCCAGAGAUGGGCUCCCCUCAGGGGGCAAAGUCGGCUUUCACUGUCUAACUGGACGGGGGAUAUGAACUCUGGAUUCUAAGAGCCCAGAGAAGCACAUGAGAAAUCUCGCACGUCUCUGUCGUGUCUCCGAGGAAAGGGCCAGGGACGCCGGCGAGCACUGGAUGCGGAGGUGCACAGCGACCCCGCGGGUGGGGUCCUGCGGGUGUCUUGAGAGCCCGUCUCUCCCGGCAGCAAAGCACCUCUUCGUGGGACGCAGUGGGGCCCGCAGGGACCAGGUUAUCCCUCAGCUUCAAAGCCUGCGUGCACCUUUUCACGGGCAUGGUGUUUUCUUCUUAGUAACCUUUUCACUGCAGAGUAACGUGGGCACCGAAGAGUUCGCCAAUCAUAAAUGUACAGCGUGGUGCAUUUAGAGGAGGGGCGACACCCACGAAACCACCAUCCAGACGAAGACACAGAACAUCGGCCGGCUUCUCCUCCCCUCCGUCAGUGACCCUCUCUCUCAAGGGGAGCCCCUCCUCUGCCUUCCACUACCAUCAGGGAGUUUUGUCUGGGUUUGGACUUCACAUCAGUGAAAACACACAGCGUCGACCCCUUUGUGUCUGGCUUCCUCAGCGCACAGUGUAUUUGUGAAGUUCACCCCGGUUAUUACCGGCAGAAGUUCGUUCUGUUUUCGUUGCCGUGUUCCGUGGCAUGACCCAUUGGGAGUAUUUCUCUGUACGACUGUGCUCGGACGCUUGUGUUUCUAGCUCACGGCCCAGAUGAAUGCCGCUGCCCCCUGCACACGUGCGCUUGUCUCUUGGUGGACACGCCCAGGCAUUUCUAGGAGAGGAGUUUUGUGGAUUCCCAACUUGGGAAGAUAGUGCCAGACAGUUUUCUAAAGUUGUGCUCACACCAAAAAUCACGGAAUCUCCCUCUCUCUGCAUCGACAGGAACCCUUGAUUCUGUCAGCCCUUUUAAUCUCACCGUUCUGGCCACCAUCGUGGUUUUAAGCGUGCGUUUCCACGGUGACUGAUGAUGCGUUCUUCACGUGUUCAUUUACCACGUGGUGGGGUCCUUUGCACGUCUUUCACCCAUUAGGAAACCGAGUCGUCCCUGCGCACCGAGGACAGCGGCUUCCUCCACCGUUGCCCAGGCUGUGGAGCAACGAAGAUGUCCUGAGGCAGGUGGACCGAGUGCACAACAGCCGGAGCGAGCCCUCGUGUCAAUGACGGGCCCUGGGCGAUCGUGACGUGUCAGUGCAGGUUCAUGGAUCGUGGCCAGUGUCCCACUGUGGUGCGAGGUCGGUAAGGGACCAGCGUUGUGUGUGGGGGGGCAGGGGGCCAUCUGGGAAAUCUCUGCACAUUCUGUUCAAUUUUGCUGUGAACCUAAGGCUGCUCACAAAAUAAAGUUUGUUAAUUCAAAAUACGACAUUUAGAGAAGAAGCGAGAAACAAAAUAAUACAUUCAUAUGAUUUCUUUUAUAGACAAUUACUUUAUAGAACUUAUCGAGAUGUUCGUUGUGGUCUGAUACGCAAUUGUGUUUACAUUUUUUUAAUGUUUAUUUUUGAGAGAGAGAGAGAGAGAGACAGAGAGAGACAGAGCACGAGCAGGGAAAGGGCAGAGAGAGAGGAAGACACAGAACCCGAAGCAGGCUCCAGGCCCCGAGCUGUCAGCCCAGAGCCCGACGCGGGGCUCGAACCCACGGAUCAUGAGAUCAUGACCUGAGCUGAAGUCGGACGCUUACCCGACAGAGCCACCCAGGCGCCCCGUGUGAUUGUAUUUACACAGCAUGUGGGUGCUGGAGAGGACGGUGUACCCACUGGAGCAGAAAGACAUUGUACAGUUGCCAGGCGGAACCCUGCCUCCUGAGGGCCCCUCCCCACCCAGAGCCUCUGCUGUGUCUGCAGCGCGGGUGGCGGUCCCUGUGUGCGCACGUGAGUCCGGGGGCGCUGGGCCUGGGAAUCUGCAUGUGCUCCAGGAGAGGCCCGGGAUCUCCCCCCAUGGCUGUGGGGCAGCUCCGCUCCCUGGGGCGUCGCCAUGACCCCUGCCCGGGGCGCACCUCUGCCAGGACCCCUGUGUCCAGCCGGCAGGAACCUGCUGUCACGCCAGGGACGUUGAGGGACCGCGGGGCUGAAUCGGGGUCGAGAUGCUCGGCUCCCUGGCCAGUGUUUUGACAAAGGGUAAGCUCCCCCAGAGGGGCCGUGCUCCCUGGUGGCUCCUCCCAUGCUGUGCCGU
Neofelis nebulosa (Clouded leopard) is the source of this 2872-nucleotide long non-coding RNA. RefSeq lists it as uncharacterized. The transcript is spliced from 3 exons. Lineage: Eukaryota; Metazoa; Chordata; Mammalia; Carnivora; Felidae. The record is from RefSeq and is a predicted model, not a curated record.